GACGAGCGCUGGCGGCGUGCUUAACACAUGCAAGUCGAACGGAAAGGCCCUGCUUUUGUGGGGUGCUCGAGUGGCGAACGGGUGAGUAACACGUGAGUAACCUGCCCUUGACUUUGGGAUAACUUCAGGAAACUGGGGCUAAUACCGGAUAGGAGCUCCUGCUGCAUGGUGGGGGUUGGAAAGUUUCGGCGGUUGGGGAUGGACUCGCGGCUUAUCAGCUUGUUGGUGGGGUAGUGGCUUACCAAGGCUUUGACGGGUAGCCGGCCUGAGAGGGUGACCGGCCACAUUGGGACUGAGAUACGGCCCAGACUCCUACGGGAGGCAGCAGUGGGGAAUAUUGCACAAUGGGCGGAAGCCUGAUGCAGCAACGCCGCGUGCGGGAUGACGGCCUUCGGGUCGUAAACCGCUUUCGCCUGUGACGAAGCGUGAGUGACGGUAAUGGGUAAAGAAGCACCGGCUAACUACGUG
RNAcentral lists this ribosomal RNA (468 nucleotides) under uncultured bacterium. Its description in RNAcentral is "partial 16S ribosomal RNA". It matches the Rfam family "Bacterial small subunit ribosomal RNA", at positions 28 to 507 of the family's 1533-position model. The record is from RNAcentral.